Molecule: ribosomal RNA, 1439 nt
Filed under: uncultured bacterium
Lineage: Bacteria
Description: bacterial SSU rRNA
Rfam family: Bacterial small subunit ribosomal RNA
Source: RNAcentral
AGGGUUUGAUCAUGGCUCAGAACGUACGCUGGCGGCACGCCUAACACAUGCAAGUCGAACGAAGUAGCAAUACUUAGUGGCAGACGGGUGAGUAACAUGUGGGUAUCUGCCCUUUGGCCUGGAAUAACACGAGGAAACUUGUGCUAAUACCGGAUAAGUCUUUACGGAGAAAGCUUUAUGCACCAUUGGAUGAGCCCGCACUUGAUUAGUUUGUUGGUGGGGUAAUGGCCUACCAAGACUGUGAUCAAUAGCUGAUUUGAGAGGAUGAUCAGCCACAUUGGGACUGAGACACGGCCCAAACUCCUACGGGAGGCAGCAGUGGGGAAUCUUGCACAAUGGAGGAAACUCUGAUGCAGCGAUGCCGCGUGAGUGAAGAAGGCCCUUGGGUUGUAAAGCUCUUUCGUCGGGGAAGAAAAUGACUGUACCCGAAUAAGAAGGUCCGGCUAACUUCGUGCCAGCAGCCGCGGUAAUACGAAGGGACCUAGCGUAGUUCGGAAUUACUGGGCUUAAAGAGUUCGUAGGUGGUUGAAAAAGUUAGUGGUGAAAUCCCAGAGCUUAACUCUGGAACUGCCAUUAAAACUUUUCAGCUAGAGUAUGAUAGAGGAAAGCAGAAUUUCUAGUGUAGAGGUGAAAUUCGUAGAUAUUAGAAAGAAUACCAAUUGCGAAGGCAGCUUUCUGGAUCAUUACUGACACUGAGGAACGAAAGCAUGGGUAGCGAAGAGGAUUAGAUACCCUCGUAGUCCAUGCCGUAAACGAUGUGUGUUAGACGUUGGAAAUUUAUUUUCAGUGUCGCAGCGAAAGCGAUAAACACACCGCCUGGGGAGUACGACCGCAAGGUUAAAACUCAAAUGAAUUGACGGGGACCCGCACAAGUAGUGGAGCAUGUGGUUUAAUUCGAAGAUACGCGCAGAACCUUACCAACACUUGACAUGUUCGUCGCGACUCUAAGAGAUUAGAGUUUUCGGUUCGGCCGGACGAAACACAGGUGCUGCAUGGCUGUCGUCAGCUCGUGUCGUGAGAUGUUGGGUUAAGUCCCGCAACGAGCGCAACCCUCACUUUUAGUUGCCAUCAUUAAGUUGGGCACUCUGAAAGAACUGCCAGUGAUAAGCUGGAGGAAGGUGGGGAUGACGUCAAGUCCUCAUGGCCCUUACGUGUUGGGCUACACACGUGCUACAAUGGUAUCUACAACAGGAAGCAAGACUGCGAGGUCAAGCAAAUCCUUAAAAGAUACCUCAGUUCGGAUUGCACUCUGCAACUCGAGUGCAUGAAGCUGGAAUUACUAGUAAUCGUGGAUCAGCGUGCCACGGUGAAUGCGUUCCCGGGUCUUGUACACACCGCCCGUCACACCAUGGGAGUUGGUUCUACCUUAAGGCAAGGUUUCAAACCCUUGACCACGGUAUAGUCAGCGACUGGGGUGAAGUCGUAACAAGGUAGCCGUA